Long non-coding RNA from Orcinus orca (killer whale), 679 nucleotides. RefSeq lists it as uncharacterized. The transcript has 2 exons. Lineage: Eukaryota; Metazoa; Chordata; Mammalia; Artiodactyla; Delphinidae. The record is from RefSeq and is a predicted model, not a curated record.
CACCUGAAAAGAAAACAGUAUACAGAGAUCAUUAGUAUCGUAACAAUAACAACAAUUAAAGCUAACAUGAUUAGAGCACUCAUUUAUGUUCACAACUUUAAGAGGUAGCUGAUUUCUAGGUUGCAGAUGGAACAAAUGAAGCCUAAGGAAGUUGAGUAACUUGCCUCACAGAUGGUUCAGAGCAGAGCUGGAUUUGAUCCCAGGCAGUCUGGCUCCAGAGUUCAUCCUCUUAAUGGAAACCUCAGGGACCUACAUGUGGAUUCAGUUUAGAUGCUUCACAAUAAUAUCUCACUACUAAUAUUUGACCAUGAGCCAUUCUUAUGAAAGCUAUUUACAAGAACAGGAUUUCCCCAUGUGGUGGUAACUAUGAUCUUCAUUUAAUCCUUGGCAUGCACGCAGCUUAAAGAUGUCUUUAUGAAACUAUUUAGAUCUUUUGGAUCAAUGGACGCCUAAAAAUUCAAUGUGAAAUGUAUCUAGGGUGGGUGCCAAAAAUAUUCUUUACUUAUUCUUUAAGUAAAGAAUAUUUUUAAAAUGCAAAUAAUUUCUACUUCCUGCCCUCCUCCUCCACCUUGUCACACACGCGAAUAUUUGUUUUGAUACUGGGUUUUCUUUUUUUUUUUUCUGCUGUACACGGGCCUCUCACUGUUGUGGCCUCUCCCGUUGCGGAGCACAGGCUCCG